Molecule: long non-coding RNA, 447 nt
Organism: Gorilla gorilla gorilla (western lowland gorilla)
Lineage: Eukaryota; Metazoa; Chordata; Mammalia; Primates; Hominidae
Exons: 3
Source: RefSeq, a predicted model, not a curated record
UAGAUACACAAAUAUCAUAGACACAGAAGUUACAUAUGCUUUUAUUAAGAGUUAACGAUUUAAAAAAUAACCUAAUGAUAUGCGUGCUAAAUCUGUAAAUAAUUGAAAUGAGUCACUUUCUUCUGGUAACACCUUCCUGGGGCUAUUCCGUUCUAAGAUGACCAAAUAGGAACAGCUCUGGUCUGGAGCUCCCAGCAUGCCCGACACAGAAGACGGGUGAUUUCUGCAUUUUCACUGAGUUAUUCCUUUGUAGUUGUGAUCCAGCAUGGAUGUGGUGUGGUUGUAUCAGUGACUGCAGGUAGUCUGUGGAGCAUUACACAGUUCUUUACGGAAAUAGCAGCUGCAAGUGACCAGGACCACUGACAGCAGAAGGCACAUCACUUACCAUGGUAAAAAGCAGUUUAGAAAAAUCUCAAAAACAAAAUAAAUGUUUACUGGAGACUCAAA